AUGAUGUGUCACUGGCAGGAAAAGCAUGUCACCUUCGUCCACGACGGAGAGCAAGUCACUUUACAGGGGGUUCGUCCCAAAGAGCAACCAACUAUUACAGCCAUUGAGCCUGAAGAGUUGAGCAAGAUGAUUGCAGGCAACGAUAUGUGGGCUAUGGCUCUGAUGGACGCGCGCGCACACUCGUUGACACCGAUAAGUGACCUGCUCGACGAGUUCGCCGAUGUCUUUGCCGCGCCCAAGGGACUACCACCGCACCGUCAAUACGACCAUGCCGUCACCCUGGUGGACGGCGCGCGCCACGCAAACACGCGGCCAUACCAGUUCUCGCCGGUGCAAAAAGAUGAGAUUGAGAAGCAGGUUCGUGAGAUGCUGGACUCGGGGGUGAUCACGUACAGUCUCAGCCCCUAUGCGGCACCGGUCCUCCUCGUUAAAAAGAAGGACGGUACAUGGCACUUCUGUGUAGACUACUAG
This 471-nucleotide ribosomal RNA is filed under the name Triticum aestivum (bread wheat). RNAcentral's name for it is "partial small subunit ribosomal RNA". The record is from RNAcentral. Lineage: Eukaryota; Viridiplantae; Streptophyta; Magnoliopsida; Poales; Poaceae.